This 316-nucleotide ribosomal RNA is filed under the name uncultured eukaryote. RNAcentral describes it as "partial 18S ribosomal RNA". It matches the Rfam family "Eukaryotic small subunit ribosomal RNA", at positions 1470 to 1796 of the family's 1831-position model. The record is from RNAcentral.
CCCUUAGAUGUUCUGGGCCGCACGCGCGCUACACUGACGAAUGCAACGAGCUUAUAACCUUGGCCGAAAGGUCUGGGUAAUCUCCAAAUUUCGUCGUGAUGGGGAUAGAUUAUUGCAAUUAUUAAUCUUCAACGAGGAAUUCCUAGUAAACGCAAGUCAUCAGCUUGCAUUGAUUACGUCCCUGCCCUUUGUACACACCGCCCGUCGCACCUACCGAUUGAAUGGUCCGGUGAAAUCCUCGGAUCGAGCCGUGGGGCAACUCCGGUUCGAGAAGUUGAUUAAACCUUACCAUUUAGAGGAAGGUGAANUCGUAACA